RNA transcript from Formica exsecta, 6973 nucleotides. It is a transcript of the gene named protein tramtrack, beta isoform-like, with no coding region annotated. The record is from RefSeq and is a predicted model, not a curated record. Lineage: Eukaryota; Metazoa; Arthropoda; Insecta; Hymenoptera; Formicidae. The transcript has 11 exons.
GAAUGGGAAAACAAAAUCAUGUUGCGUUGCCGCUGCCGUUAUCGAUCCGCAAUGUCUUUUAUCAUAUUCUCGUUUGAGAGCAAAGCCCGGUCGAAAAGUCAACGCGACUUAAGGAGGAGGAUUUCGAAACACCGAAAAGGAAGGGCGUUCAAAGGAACGCGUGCGAGAAAAAGUCGACUCGUUAGUAGGUCAUCGCCGAUGUUAUUCCUUCCCUUCGUCAGGAUUACGUCACCCGUAUGCUUCCCGACUCGAGGCCCGCACGCCAACGCUCGUUCGUUAGUGCACGUGAAGAUAUGCCGUGUGGGAUUAAUGCUUAAUGUAAAAAUUAAAAAGGAAACCAAAAGAAAGAGGAUUUCUCCAUGCGCUACUUCGUGAUCGAUGAGGAGGAGAUUGUUUGAUAUCAAGAUGCUCGAGCACAGGCAGACGCUAAUAUUAUCUCGAUUCAACUUCACCGAUGUACACUAAUGUUCCCGAUACAUCGAUACAUAUUCCAAGUGUGCGGGGCGGUUUGCCGGGCGUCCUUUCGCGUUCUCGCCGGAAGGACCUGCUGGUGUUACGCUCGAUGAAGGCGCGUGAGAGCGCGCAGGACGACGCGAGAAAUGGACGGGUGUGGAUCCUUGGCUGGACACGAAACGCGAAGCGCAGAGCAGAGCAGGGCAGGCCAGGCCAGGGAGCAAUGUCCCUUCGAAGAGUCAUCCCCUUCCUCGCUAUCGCGCUUACUCGCGACGCAAGAGUAUCGGUCAAUUUUCAAAUGCCAGUCAUCGCGAAAACCAAGUUUCGAAGUACGAAAGGAUCGUUAUGGCGCGCAUAUAUAACGGGGAGCCGCGUUGGAAGGCAAGGAACCGAGCAAGGCAGGCAAGGCACAAGAGAAAGAGAGCUGAAUACUGAGAAGAAAUAAGAUGACGGAAAAGAGGAGGAAGGGGCAAAGCAGCCCCGAGCGAUACAGCCCUGGCCGUAGGCGCAAUGGAGAGUAGGAGAACCAGUCGAGUUUCUCAGAGAGAGCGCGCACGCUCCGAGUUAGAACUAGCUAGAGUUUUGCUAGAGCGGAGCCAAGGACACUAGACAAUCAGCAACAGCAGUCGGAGGAGUCAAACGGCGGUGACGGCGGCAGCAGUAGAGGCGAUGGUGAGACCCCUUCACCCCGACCCACAUCGUCUACAUGUCCGUCUACCCCUUUACCCCCCGACUACUACCAUCGUCGUCCUCGCCCCCUCCAUGCCAACGACGUUCCCGUCCGUCACCACCAUCGCCGCCGCCGCCGCCGCUUCUGUCCCGAGAGUCUCUCUCCGAAGCUUCUCCUUCCAGGCACUUUUUUGCCCGACUAUACGCCUCUCUCGUUCAUCGCGACAAGGCACCAGCUCGGUAUCUUUUUAUCAGUCGACCGAAAAGCCCCGUGGAGAUUUUACUAUGGUAUCGCGCCACGCACAUUUGUAUUGGCUAGCUCGUAUGCGAACAACCCUCGCACACAUGCUUUAAAAGAUUUAACAUAUAUGUACAUGUAUAUAUACACAUGUAAAUACACAUGUCGCGUUAGAGCGCAUUCUUUUAACAGCCGCCCUCUCCCCUUGUUUUUGUUCGUAUAGCGAGAACCGCGCGAAACGGCGUGACCGUCCUGUUAAACGCGCUCACUGAAGGGGGUGAGAGGGGCGAAACGGAGGAAAGAGAAGGCGCGCGACAUAAAGUUGCGGCAAUAGCAGUGCGUUUGCGACGCGAGUCACGCGUGUCGGGGUAAACGUGUCUCAUUGCCAGCGUAGCAGUUCCGCUGGUGGGACGUGGGACGAGGAACGACGCACCACUACUAUUCGGGUGUUUUCGCCAGAGCGUUGCCUUCGCUGCCAACGUGGGACUCGGAUGAGGAAUAUCGAAAUUACCAGUGGGCAACUUGGGCUAGGCAGAGAUUACCAAACACGCAACAGUGGUCGGUUCGCGCCCUAAUGCUCCCGUCGCCAUAACAGGUGAAUUUCGGGCAUUCUCGACGAUACAGUUUACGAAGCACGUGUCUCACUCGGCGCUGUGAAUUUUCCUCCUCCUCCUCCUCCUCGUCGUUGUCGUCAAAGAGGGGACACGAGCCAACGGACGUUGGUACCUCGUCGCGCCGGGUAAUUAAAUCGAGCGACGCAACUUUGUGGUGAUAACGACUAACGACGAUUGUGCAACCUGUGCGCCGCCCCGAGCCCCGAGCAGGAGCGAUCGUGUGGAUGCACGACGUGUUCGUGAGUCACGGCGGGGUGCUGCCGGUGUGUGGGUCACGAGUAAGACGGACACGAUAAUUCUUGGCCGAUGAAGAGCAGAGCAGCACGAGGACGAGUAGUAGAAGGAGCAGCAGCACGAGCAAGAGCAAGUGGCUUUGUCAUCGUAGAAGGUGGUGGCGCCGUGGAGAAGCAAAAGAAGAAACGAGGACGAAGUGGCGGCAGCAGUGGCAACGGCGACAAUACGGCGACGAACAGCCAAGUCCCCCCAUGUUAGCGGACAUCAACGGCAACCUGGCGGAUCUGAGAAGCGAAGCGAUGGCGUCGCAGAGGUUCUGUUUGCGCUGGAACAAUCACCAGAGCAAUCUGCUUUCCGUCUUCGACCAGCUGUUGCACGACGAGUCGUUCGUCGAUGUCACGCUGGCCGUUGAGGGCCAAUUACUCAGGGCGCAUAAGAUGGUGCUGUCGGCAUGUAGCCCCUAUUUUCAGGCCUUGUUUGUUGGCCAUCCCGAUAAGCACCCGAUAGUCAUUCUCAAGGAUGUUCCGUAUGUGGACAUGCGCAGCCUUUUGGACUUUAUGUACCGCGGCGAGGUAAGCGUCGACCAAGACCGACUGACCGCCUUUCUACGAGUCGCCGAGUCCCUAAGGAUAAAAGGCCUGACCGAAGUGAACGAGGAUAAAUGUGAUCUACCAAGUAUCACAUCCUCGCUAUUGGGUAGCGGUCAGAACACGGUGGCGCCGCCGCCGCCCAAUCUUCAUCGGAUCAACCAAAUCGGUCAACAUCAUCACCAUGUCGCGCAGAAGAGGUUCCAUCAUAUGUCCAGCCAUCCGUUACUCGGCUCUGCACUUACGGCGCCCAAGAGAAAACGCGGUAGACCUAGGAAGUUGAGCGGCUCAUCGGACACGCCGAUUGGUGAAAUCGGUGGCCAAGACUUACAAUCCUGUUCGGGCGCCGAUUUGGUACAAGGUUCACCUGAAAUGAUGGAAAUGAAGAUGGGGCUGGACUUUCAGAGCGAGGUUAGCGGCAACAGUAACAUCAGGAGUGGCACCAACACCGCCAACAGCGUUGGUGGCAAUUCCGCGGCGGGCGCUAAUAAUUCCGCCGCCGGUACAGCCUCCUCAGGAUCGUCGUCGACGAGGAGAGACGAGCCUACGGAGAAUGGCACCGAUACGCCAGAGCCGCCAGUCACGCGGGUUAAACGGGAACCAGAACCGACACCCAGCACCUCGGCGCAAGCCUCGGAUGAGACAUUCGCGCGGCCGCACAGUAGACAAGGGAGUGAAGGUUUCAAGCAAGAGUUCUCGUCGAACAAAUCGGAUAGCGGCAACGAGACCUGGAAAGAGAAAACCCGUGGCCUGAACCAGGGUUCCUCACCGGCUGCGAUGGACAUAUCGUCGUCUCCGAAUUCUUCGUCGUCCUCGUCAUCGUCAAACGUACGGGCGAGCACGUCGUCGUCGACAACGACGACGAACGCUGUACCGACGACGACAAACGCGGGCGCGACAUCAACGACGACCAGCGCGGGUGGCGGCACGCUGACCCGGAGCUCGUCGGCGUCGCCAGCUUCCAGGACACCAAGUAGCGGCAGUGCGAAUACCACAUCCGGCGCUGGCGCAAUGUCAGCGCCUAGCGGCCGUCAGGCACCGAAGCGGCGGAUGCGACGUCGCGCCACUUCGCAGUCCCAGGAUCCGGCCGAACAGCUGACGGAGAUGUCAGUGCGCGGCUUAAAUCUCUUCCGUUACGCUUCCAUCAAUGAGGGCGUUUAUCAGUGCACCGAAUGCGCCAAGCUCGACAUCCAGAAAACCUUCAAGAACAAGUAUAGCUUCCAGCGGCACGCGUUCCUCUAUCAUGAGGGUCAUCAGCGCAAAGUGUUUCCCUGCCCGGUAUGCGGCAAGGAGUUCUCGCGUCCGGACAAGAUGAAGAAUCACAUGAAGACCGUGCACGACUGUUUUAUGCCCAAGGAUUGCGUCAUGCCCUUCGGCUUUUAUUUGCCUGGUGGGCCUUAGCGGGCGGGGCGAGGGCGAGGUGGGCUGCCGAUCGGCCCGGCGGCGGUUCAGAGGCACGCGAGGAGGCUCAGUGCCACCGCGACGUCCAGAAACGUGGCCGCGGCGGCCAGGGCGACGGCCUUUAGGCGCGGCGGCCGCUCUUGAGCGAUGCUUGUUUGGCAACGGGGUGGAUGAAUAGAGAGAAUCGCGGGUUUAUAAAGAUUGAAGGAUCUCGAAACGAAAGCAGCGCAAUCUUGGAAAAAUUAUUUGAAAAAAUAGAGUUUAGAUUUAUAUAAUAUUUAUCGAAAUAGAGGAAAAUGUAUGCGUAUAUGCGUAUAAGCAUUUAUACUAAUGAUUAAAUAUCAAAUGUACAAACUUUCAACUUUAUUUGCAUAUAAUUAACAUUUUUCAAAAUUGCAAAAAUGGAAAACUAAUUCAUUAUGAUUGGUAUAGUAAUUGCUGCUGCCUUUGUUAGUAGAGCUAUCACGGACAUAUUGGCAAACAAUUGGUAAGUAAGUAAAUUGCUUUCCAGCAAGAGAAAUCUUGCGGAACAAGUUGCCGAAGAAAGUAAGCCAACUGUUGAUUGGAUAUUAUUAUCUUUAACAUUUUAUCUGCUCACUAUUGCUAUCAUCGCGUUUGCCGACAUACGUAAGAUAUCCCAUGCCGAAAAAAAUUUGGACCAACUGCGUAGCCCAUCUCACCCCCGCGAUGACGGUGAUGAUCGAUGAUGAUUCGUUUCGGCCUAUCCUCCGUGAAGCAGAGGAUAAGAGACUUUCAAAGAAAAAAAGACAAUGUUGUCCUUUGAGAAAAUACGAGAGAGCGAGCUCAAAGGGAGUCUAGAGAAGAAGGGGGAAGGGCCGAUGAUACGUGACAAAGACAAAAAAAAAAAAAACAGCCUUCUUUAGCUUCCUAUGUACAUUAGUAUUAUAUGAUCCUUGAACUGUGCAAUAACGAGCUCGAUCCUCGGUUACUCGUCGAAUCAGCGUAAUUCAGACAGCACGUGAAGAGAAAUUGUGGUGCAUUAGCGGAACAGUCUUUUUAUAAAUUAUUCUAUUUUCGAUCAAAAAGCACGGAAGACAUGUGGUGAUCAAGUCAAAAUGAUUAUCUAAAAUAUAUAAGACAAAAAUUCUUGAAAUCGUAACGAUUAAAUUGAUAGAAAUUCGCUUUCUACAUGCACCACGAAACAGUGUCGUGAUUCUUAUCCCCUGAAAAAGUCCUCGUAUCAAAUGUUCGAAAAAUCGAACAUUGGUCUUCCGAGCAGCAUCGAAUUAAAAGCACUAUUUCUUAUGGAAGUAUACUCAGAAUCUUUAGAACACUUACGAUAUAAGAGUUGCUUCAAAAAAAAAAUAAGAAAUAUCCCUUUCUUAAGAGAGCUCGACUAUUCGGGGCCCGAAACGAAAAUCUGUGACUAAAUGGCAAAUUUUUUCCGCCGAAAAAUGAUAAAUGAUGAAGAAAAGAUUACAGUCUCAAUAUUAUUUAUCAACUUCUAACGUUUCACGAACAAUACAAAUACGAAUCAUUUUGACAUGUCAAAUAUCUCUUGUGCCAGCAAUAUAGAAAGAGAUAUCUUUUUAAUUUUAUAUACACAUUAAAUAUUCCAAGUUUUAAAAGUUUUUGUUAAAUUAGAAUUCACUCGAAAUUAAAUGUAAAUUUAGAACAAUUAAUUGCCGAUUUAUAUUCCUUGAAAAAUUUAAUUUAUCAAAAUUAUUUUAAUGUUGAAAACUCGAUUUAGAUUUGAUUAAAUAAUGCAUUCCUACUUUCCUAUGGAAUUUUUGCGCGCGAUGCAAUAUAUAAGAAAAUUAUUAAAAUUAAGAGAAACCAAAUUAUUGUUUCGUGAAACGAGCAGAAUUAAUAUGUUAAUUCUCUCUCGACAUAUACGCGAAAAAAGAGAAAAUAAAAAAAGAAAAAAACGAACGAGGAAGAAAGAGAAAGGGAGAAAGACGAGGAUGUAUAUUUAUCGCUAAGUAUAUUAGUGUGGCUACGUAGAGAGAGAGAAAGAGAGAGAGAGAGAGAGAGAAAAGAAAAGAAAAAAAAGAUUCGAAAGAAUAUGGGGAAUAUAUCCUGUAUAGUGUAAUCUUGUCUGGUGUACAGGUUUCUUCCUUUUCUUUCCUGUUUUUUUUUUUUUUUGUUUCUCGAGGAAGUGUAUUAUAGCAUUAUUGAUUAUUGAUUAUAUUAACUAGUUACUUGCUAUUAUCGAUUACUUUCGCACUUGCUAUUGAUACAACCAUAACAUUAUUUUUAUUGUCACUGUUAUUAUAUUACAGCUUAUUAUAUUAUUAUUAUUAUUUUUAUUAUUAUUAUUGUUCGAUAAGGAUUAUUAUCUUUUAGCUCUGGACCAGCAUGGAUAUAAAAUUGGUUAUUAUUAAACUAAUUAUUAUUAUUAUAUUAAGUAUGUAAGCGAAUGCACACAUAGACGCACGCGCACAUAGAGAGAAGACGUUAUAUGUUGUAUAUGUACACAGAUAUUUUGCAGAGACGCAUACAUAAUGUAUGGAUCUCUUGUUUCCCUUUUCCUUGCCUGCAAAAAAAUCCAAACGAAGAGAUCUAUUUCCAAUUCGGAAUAUCGUUGACAACAAGAGAGAAAGAAUGAGAAGGAGAGAGAGUGAGAAGAUGAGGGAUGACACCAGCUGUCAUUUAAUUCUUCAAGAAUUACGAAGACAAGUACAAUUUCUGCGUGUAUAUGUACAUCUCUAUUAAUGAAUCGACCUCGCAAGAGCUUUCGAGGGAGCACCGAGAACCGAAAGCAGUAUUUUCGUCUUCCGCAUUGGUGUUAUCCGUGUAUGUGUGUGAGAGAGAAA